GGGCCUAUAGCUCAGUCGGUUAGAGCAGCGGACUCAUAAUCCGUUGGUCCACAGUUCGAGUCUGUGUGGGCCCACCA
RNAcentral lists this transfer RNA (77 nucleotides) under Acinetobacter baumannii. RNAcentral describes it as "tRNA-Ile2 (CAT) (tRNA-Ile2-CAT-1-1)". It matches the Rfam family "tRNA". Rfam says of the family: Transfer RNA (tRNA) molecules are approximately 80 nucleotides in length. Their secondary structure includes four short double-helical elements and three loops (D, anti-codon, and T loops). The record is from RNAcentral. Lineage: Bacteria; Pseudomonadati; Pseudomonadota; Gammaproteobacteria; Moraxellales; Moraxellaceae. RNAcentral also lists the same sequence under 646 other names.